This 404-nucleotide long non-coding RNA is filed under the name Homo sapiens (human). RNAcentral's name for it is "non-protein coding lnc-AGT-3:1". The record is from RNAcentral. Lineage: Eukaryota; Metazoa; Chordata; Mammalia; Primates; Hominidae.
AUGAAUGACACAGUAACUAUCUGGACCAGGGAACUCAUGACCAACCAACUACUUCAAAGGAAACAAAUGGUCAUAGAUAUCCUUAACACUGGGAAGGCAACAGUACCAAAGACAGAAAUUCUGGAAAAAUUAGUCAAAAUAUACAAGACCACACUGGAUGUCAUCUUUGUAUUUGGAUUCAGAACUUAUUUUGGUGGUGGCAAGAUAGCUGACUUUGGUGUGAUUUAUGAUUUUUUUGGAUUAUGUAAAAAACCAUGAACCCAAACAUAGACUUGCAAGACAUGGCCUGCCUCCAUGAGAAGAAAAAGACCUCAAGAAAGCAGUGAGACGAAUGCAAGAAUAGAAUGAAAAAGCUCAGGGGGUUGGCAAAGGCCAAUGUUGGUGCUGGCAAAAAGCCAAAGGAG